AUGGAGGUGGGCGACCUGCACAAGGUGUGGGAGAUCCGGGCGCUCAAGCGGAAGCCCGAGGAGCCGGCGGCCCGCGCGCUCCUCAACCGCGUCGCCAAGCAGGUCCAGCCCAUCAUGCGCCGCCGCAAGUGGCGCGUCAAGGUCCUCUCCGAGUUCUCGCCCAAGAACCCGAGGCUGCUGGGGCUCAACGUCAACCGGGGCGUCGAGGUGAAGCUGCGGCUCCGGCGCGACGGCCGGGACCUCGACUUCAUCCCCUACGAGGAGGUGCUCGACACCAUGCUCCACGAGCUCGCGCACAACGCGCGCGGGCCCCACGACGCGCAGUUCUACAAGCUCUGGGACGAGCUCCGCAAGGUCCGUAUCUUCAUGUUUCUGCUCUUGUAUCGGUGCUUGAAAUGUCUACGAUUCCACCUGUAUAGCGGCUCACUAAUGUCAGUGUAUGUAUAUAUCCGGUUGCUUGGAAUAUGUUGCUUGUGUGCACUAGGCUAUAAGAAUGCAGAUGUUGUGCAUAUUCCCUUGCAACCUAGCCCGUUUACUGAAAGCUUGGUUCAAUUGAUUUUGGGGUUAACGACAUUUAACCUGAAAUUUUCUUUAACAGUACAACGGAUGGGGCUGUUAAAUAUGAGAUUCCAAUUGUGGCAGUGCAUUGCAAAAUAA
Molecule: ribosomal RNA, 657 nt
Filed under: Triticum aestivum (bread wheat)
Lineage: Eukaryota; Viridiplantae; Streptophyta; Magnoliopsida; Poales; Poaceae
Description: partial small subunit ribosomal RNA
Source: RNAcentral